AAAGGAAGAAAGCCUUGACCAAGAAAGAGUCAAGCAAGAAAAUAAAAGUUAGGAGCAACAAUGAUGAUAUUAGCUCCAAGGAACUACAAGAGGUAACUAACUUGUACUUUAUAGCACAAGAAGACAAGGUAAAAUCUGAAUCUACUCUUACAUCAAAUGAUUUUCAAGAAGAAUUCUCUUAUGAUGAAUUAUUAAAUGCUUUUCAUGAUUUGUAUGGUGAAUGUAGAAAAUUAGCUGUGAAGAAUAAAAAUCUUAAGAAACUAAAUCUGAAAAUUUCAAAAGAAAGAAAUUCUAAUGAUGAAAUAUAAGAU
RNAcentral lists this long non-coding RNA (311 nucleotides) under Phoenix dactylifera (date palm). RNAcentral describes it as "long non-coding RNA (PDAC_LNC016442)". Lineage: Eukaryota; Viridiplantae; Streptophyta; Magnoliopsida; Arecales; Arecaceae. The record is from RNAcentral.